This is a non-coding RNA of Pelobates cultripes (western spadefoot toad), 263 nucleotides long. Lineage: Eukaryota; Metazoa; Chordata; Amphibia; Anura; Pelobatidae. The record is from the annotation of a GenBank genome assembly.
AUAGAUAUAGAGAAGAUACAUUAAGUCAGGGGUUGUGGCAACCUUCAGCUUUUCAGAGGUUGUCAACUUCAUCUCCCAUAAUGCGCAUACUGUCAUAAGGCUGGCAAACAUCAGGGUAGAUACAUUUCACAAUAUCUGGAUGGCCAAAGGUUGCCUACCCGUGCAUUAUGUAGCAGAAUUAAGCAGCCCUUGCCUCCUUGUUUUUUCGAGUACUUUUUUAGGCAGAUAUCUAGUGUAUGUGAUAGCAAGUGCAUGAACAUAUG